UAGUGCCUACGGGGCGCAGCAGUAGGGAAUCUUCCACAAUGGACGAAAGUCUGAUGGAGCAACGCCGCGUGAGUGAAGAGGGGUUUCGGCUCGUAAAGCUCUGUUGGUAGUGAAGAAAGAUAGAGGUAGUAACUGGCCUUUAUUUGACGGUAAUUACUUAGAAAGUCACGGCUAACUACGUGCCAGCAGCCGCGGUAAUACGUAGGUGGCAAGCGUUGUCCGGAUUUAUUGGGCGUAAAGA
This 241-nucleotide ribosomal RNA is filed under the name uncultured bacterium. RNAcentral describes it as "partial 16S ribosomal RNA". It matches the Rfam family "Bacterial small subunit ribosomal RNA", at positions 334 to 566 of the family's 1533-position model. The record is from RNAcentral.